UAAACACGUGGGUAACCUGCCCUAAAGUCUGGGAUACCACUUGGAAACAGGUGCUAAUACCGGAUAACAACAAUAGCUGCAUGGCUAUUGCUUAAAAGGCGGCGAAAGCUGUCGCUAAAGGAUGGACCCGCGGUGCAUUAGCUAGUUGGUAAGGUAAUGGCUUACCAAGGCGACGAUGCAUAGCCGAGUUGAGAGACUGAUCGGCCACAUUGGGACUGAGACACGGCCCAAACUCCUACGGAAGGCAGCAG
RNAcentral lists this ribosomal RNA (251 nucleotides) under uncultured bacterium. RNAcentral's name for it is "partial 16S ribosomal RNA". It matches the Rfam family "Bacterial small subunit ribosomal RNA", at positions 110 to 354 of the family's 1533-position model. The record is from RNAcentral.